GUUUUAAUAAUUUAAUAAAAAUAUUGGUCUUGUAAAUCAAACAUAAAGUUCAACUUUUUAAAACA
RNAcentral lists this transfer RNA (65 nucleotides) under Anobiinae sp. BMNH 1274383. RNAcentral describes it as "Anobiidae sp. BMNH 1274383 tRNA-Thr". It matches the Rfam family "tRNA". From Rfam's summary of the family: Transfer RNA (tRNA) molecules are approximately 80 nucleotides in length. Their secondary structure includes four short double-helical elements and three loops (D, anti-codon, and T loops). Lineage: Eukaryota; Metazoa; Arthropoda; Insecta; Coleoptera; Ptinidae. The record is from RNAcentral.